This 496-nucleotide ribosomal RNA is filed under the name uncultured bacterium. Its description in RNAcentral is "partial 16S ribosomal RNA". It matches the Rfam family "Bacterial small subunit ribosomal RNA", at positions 29 to 507 of the family's 1533-position model. The record is from RNAcentral.
AUGAACGCUGGCGGCGUGCCUAAUACAUGCAAGUCGAGCGAACGGACGAGAAGCUUGCUUCUCUGAUGUUAGCGGCGGACGGGUGAGUAACACGUGGAUAACCUACCUAUAAGACUGGGAUAACUUCGGGAAACCGGAGCUAAUACCGGAUAAUAUUUUGAACCGCAUGGUUCAAAAGUGAAAGACGGUCUUGCUGUCACUUAUAGAUGGAUCCGCGCUGCAUUAGCUAGUUGGUAAGGUAACGGCUUACCAAGGCAACGAUGCAUAGCCGACCUGAGAGGGUGAUCGGCCACACUGGAACUGAGACACGGUCCAGACUCCUACGGGAGGCAGCAGUAGGGAAUCUUCCGCAAUGGGCGAAAGCCUGACGGAGCAACGCCGCGUGAGUGAUGAAGGUCUUCGGACCGUAAAACUCUGUUAUUAGGGAAGAACAUAUGUGUAAGUAACUGUGCACAUCUUGACGGUACCUAAUCAGAAAGCCACGGCUAACUACGUG